RNAcentral lists this unclassified non-coding RNA (200 nucleotides) under Pleosporales sp. RNAcentral's name for it is "partial internal transcribed spacer 2". The record is from RNAcentral. Lineage: Eukaryota; Fungi; Ascomycota; Dothideomycetes; Pleosporales.
UUAAGUUCAGCGGGUAUCCCUACCUGAUCCGAGGUCAAACUUGGGGGUGGAGGCUUCCUGGAUAGCCAGGCACCGUCAGACGCCGCGCGCGUUUCUGCUGCGCUCGAAGCCAACGUGCCGGCUGCCAAUGCAUUUGAGGCGAGUCCCGGGGGGAGGACAGACGCCCAACACCAAGCCAUGAGGGGGGCUUGAAGUUUGAA